This 395-nucleotide ribosomal RNA is filed under the name Ergaula sp. ZW-2018. RNAcentral describes it as "partial 12S ribosomal RNA". The record is from RNAcentral. Lineage: Eukaryota; Metazoa; Arthropoda; Insecta; Blattodea; Corydiidae.
UAUUAUUUUUGAUGUGAAUUCUUUAUGCUUGAGUAGUAUUAGUUUUGGUCUUGAAACUUAAAGAAUUUGGCGGUAUUUUAGUCUUUUUAGAGGAAUCUGUCCCAUUAUCGAUAUUCCACGUUGAAUACUUACUUAAUCUAAUGUUUAUAUACCGCCGUUUUUUGGAAUGUCUUUUUAGAGUUAGUAAAGUUCUUAUUUUUUAUUAAGGUUUAUUUCAGGUCAAGGUUUAAUAUAUGAUUAAGUGGAGAUGGAUUACAAUAUUUUUUGAGUAUUAUGGAUUUUUUAUUGUAAUAUUGGAAUGAAGGUGGAUUUAAUGGUAAUUUAAUUCAGAAUAUUUAGGUGAUUAAAGCUCUAAAAUAUGUACACAUCGCCCGUCGCUCUCGUUAUAAGAUGAG